CUACCAUUAAGUUGAGCACUCUAAUGAGACUGCCUGGGUAACCAGGAGGAAGGUGGGGAUGACGUCAAAUCAUCAUGCCCCUUAUGUCCAGGGCUACACACGUGCUACAAUGGUAGGUACAAUAAGACGCAAGACCGUGAGGUGGAGCAAAACUUAUAAAACCUAUCUCAGUUCGGAUUGUAGGCUGCAACUCGCCUACAUGAAGCUGGAGUUGCUAGUAAUCGCGAAUCAGAAUGUCGCGGUGAAUACGUUCCCGGGCCUUGUACACACCGCCCGUCACACCAUGAGAGCUGGUAACACCCGAAGUCCGUGAGGUAACCGUAAGGAGCCAGCGGCCGAAGGUGGGAUUAGUGAUUGGGGUGAAGUCGUAACAAGGUAGCCGUAGGAGAACCUGCGGCUGGAUCACCUCCUUUCUAAGGAGA
This 422-nucleotide ribosomal RNA is filed under the name Clostridium botulinum. Its description in RNAcentral is "bacterial SSU rRNA". It matches the Rfam family "Bacterial small subunit ribosomal RNA", at positions 1118 to 1533 of the family's 1533-position model. The record is from RNAcentral. Lineage: Bacteria; Bacillati; Bacillota; Clostridia; Eubacteriales; Clostridiaceae.